Molecule: ribosomal RNA, 255 nt
Filed under: uncultured eukaryote
Lineage: Eukaryota
Description: partial 16S ribosomal RNA
Source: RNAcentral
AAGGAACGCCCGCUAGAUGCUUAACACAUGCAAGUCGAACGUUGUUUUCGGGGAGCUGGAAUGAAUGGAAGGAAAGGGGGCUCCCAUCCCGAGAGAGAUCGUCUCGCCCAGCUCUGGUAUAGUGCCUCCCGGGUUUUGGCGCUGGGAAUAGUUAAGAACAAAGUGGCGAACGGGUGCGUAAGGCGUGGGAAUCUGCCGAACAGUUCGGGCCAAAUCCUGAAUUAAGCUGACAAAGCGCUGUUUGAUGAGCCCACG